GACGAGCCUCACAAACGUUAUUCGGAAUUACUGGGCUUAAAGGGUGCGUAGGCGGCGCGGAAAGUUGGGUGUGAAAUCCCUCGGCUCAACCGAGGAACUGCGCCCAAAACUACCGUGCUCGAGGAAGAUAGAGGUGAGCGGAACUUACGGUGGAGCGGUGAAAUGCGUUGAUAUCGUAAGGAACACCCGUGGCGAAAGCGGCUCACUGGGUCUUCUCUGACGCUGAUGCACGAAAGCUAGGGGAGCAAACAGG
RNAcentral lists this ribosomal RNA (253 nucleotides) under uncultured bacterium. Its description in RNAcentral is "partial 16S ribosomal RNA". It matches the Rfam family "Bacterial small subunit ribosomal RNA", at positions 524 to 776 of the family's 1533-position model. The record is from RNAcentral.